This 429-nucleotide ribosomal RNA is filed under the name uncultured archaeon. Its description in RNAcentral is "bacterial SSU rRNA". It matches the Rfam family "Archaeal small subunit ribosomal RNA", at positions 396 to 823 of the family's 1478-position model. The record is from RNAcentral.
UACAAAUCUGGCUGUCGAGAUGCCUAAAAAGCAUUUCAUAGCAAGGGCCGGGCAAGGCCGGUGCCAGCCGCCGCGGUAACACCGGCGGCUCGAGUGGUAACCGUUAUUAUUGGGUCUAAAGGGUCUGUAGCCGGCCGGAUAAGUCUCUUGGGAAAUCUGGCAGCUUAACUGUCAGGCUUUCAGGAGAUACUGUUCGGCUCGAGGCCGGGAGAGGUGAGAGGUACUUCAGGGGUAGGGGUGAAAUCUUGUAAUCCUUGAAGGACCACCAGUGGCGAAGGCGUCUCACCAGAACGGACCUGACGGCAAGGGACGAAAGCUAGGGGCACGAACCGGAUUAGAUACCCGGGUAGUCCUAGCCGUAAACGAUACUCGCUAGGUGUCGGCCACGGUGCGACCGUUGUCGGUGCCGUAGGGAAGCCGUGAAGCGAG